This 796-nucleotide ribosomal RNA is filed under the name uncultured Methanosarcina sp. Its description in RNAcentral is "bacterial SSU rRNA". It matches the Rfam family "Archaeal small subunit ribosomal RNA", at positions 85 to 879 of the family's 1478-position model. Lineage: Archaea; Methanobacteriati; Methanobacteriota; Methanomicrobia; Methanosarcinales; Methanosarcinaceae. The record is from RNAcentral.
ACGGCUCAGUAACACGUGGAUAACCUGCCCUUGGGACCGGCAUAACCCCGGGAAACUGGGGAUAAUUCCGGAUAACGCAUAUUUGCUGGAAUGCUUUAUGCGUCAAAAGGAUUCGUCUGCCCAAGGAUGGGUCUGCGGCCUAUCAGGUAGUAGUGGGUGUAAUGUACCUACUAGCCAGCGACGGGUACGGGUUGUGAGAGCAAGAGCCCGGAGAUGGAUUCUGAGACAUGAAUCCAGGCCCUACGGGGCGCAGCAGGCGCGAAAACUUUACAAUGCGGGAAACCGUGAUAAGGGGACACCGAGUGCCAGCAUCAUAUGCUGGCUGUCCGGAUGUGUAAAAUACAUCCGUUAGCAAGGGCCGGGCAAGACCGGUGCCAGCCGCCGCGGUAACACCGGCGGCCCGAGUGGUGAUCGUGAUUAUUGGGUCUAAAGGGUCCGUAGCCGGUUUGGUCAGUCCUCCGGGAAAUCUGAUAGCUUAACUAUUAGGCUUUCGGGGGAUACUGCCAGACUUGGAACCGGGAGAGGUAAGAGGUACUACAGGGGUAGGAGUGAAAUCUUGUAAUCCCUGUGGGACCACCUGUGGCGAAGGCGUCUUACCAGAACGGGUUCGACGGUGAGGGACGAAAGCUGGGGGCACGAACCGGAUUAGAUACCCGGGUAGUCCCAGCCGUAAACGAUGCUCGCUAGGUGUCAGGCAUGGCGCGACCGUGUCUGGUGCCGCAGGGAAGCCGUGAAGCGAGCCACCUGGGAAGUACGGCCGCAAGGCUGAAACUUAAAGGAAUUGGCGGGGGAGCAC